This 1076-nucleotide long non-coding RNA is filed under the name Cottoperca gobio. RNAcentral's name for it is "lncRNA (ENSCGOG00000007657.1)". Lineage: Eukaryota; Metazoa; Chordata; Actinopteri; Perciformes; Bovichtidae. The record is from RNAcentral.
CACACACCCUCCCUCCCCAGCCUAACUCAGUCUUUCUGACACAUGUGCUCACAUACUUUGACUUUAAUUCUGAUGUGUACCUGAUAGAUAUGUAACUGCAGCCAAGUUGACGGGUUAAGCAUCUGCUUUCUGUAUGCCAAGUGUAAAGCCAAGGCCAAAUGCUAACUCGUAUUUUAUGGAGAUUUCUCUACUUACAUGAAAAGGUGACUGCUGCGAAGAAUCCGACGUAACAAUGUAUUACAAGGUGAUUCUUUUUCUGAUUGGAGUGGUGCAAAUCUACUAUCAGGUCUCUUCAGCAGAUGUUGAAUACAACUACAUUGCUGAGCUGAUGGUGGGAAGUAAUAUCACACUGGAGGCCAACACCAUCAUGAUAGCUUUGAACGACAUUACUAGCCUGGAAAAUGGAUCCACGACAGCGAACCUCUCACACAGUGAACUCAUAGCAGAGUGCCUGAUUCUUGGAGAUGAAUCCACUUGCAACUGUUCUACCGGCUACGUUUGGAGCAACAUAGUGUGCUACACGUACAACUGUUGCCGCGAAAUUUCUUGCACACAAAACGUGUCCCACAUCACACCACUCUGCAUUGCCAAAGUCAAAGUUCUAAUCACUGGAUCAGCUAUAUUGAAUAAAAUCUGGGACGAUUCUAAAAAUGAAAAGCUUGCAUAUAACUUUGGAGAACUGAAUGGCUUUCAGUACCUGAAUGUAACCGGUCACAGGCUGGACAACACAGUUGCUGACUUUGAGGCAGCUGUCACCGUCAAAUUUACGCCAUUGAAACUUGAAGAAAUUAGGGUGAAAGGGGAAAGCAUACUUGGAGCUCUAAUUCAGCUGGAGACUCUUGGAAUGGUCACCAUAGAGUCCCCAAAGAAUAUUAUGUGCUAUAUGUCUAAGCCAGUACUGAAAUGCACAUUUGACGAGAAGACAGAUCUUGCUGGCUGGAACAUAAGCAAGAAGAAUGAGCACGUUGAGCUCGGCCCCGGCAGUGUGGUGAGACUGAACGACAACUGUACCACAGACGAAUACAAGUCUUGUACUGAAAUCACACUCGAGAAUGUGACAAGCAUCUGGGCAGGCG